Molecule: small RNA, 1158 nt
Filed under: Neoscytalidium hyalinum
Lineage: Eukaryota; Fungi; Ascomycota; Dothideomycetes; Botryosphaeriales; Botryosphaeriaceae
Description: eukaryotic LSU rRNA
Rfam family: Eukaryotic large subunit ribosomal RNA
Source: RNAcentral
GCGGAGGAAAAGAAACCAACAGGGAUUGCCUUAGUAACGGCGAGUGAAGCGGCAACAGCUCAAAUUUGAAAGCUGGCCCCCCCGGGGGUCCGCGUUGUAAUUUGUAGAGGAUGAUUCGGCGAGGGCUCCCGCCUAAGUCCCCUGGAACGGGGCGUCAUAGAGGGUGAGAAUCCCGUAUGCGGUGGGCUGCCUUAGCCAUGUGAAUCUCCUUCGACGAGUCGAGUUGUUUGGGAAUGCAGCUCUAAAUGGGAGGUAAAUUUCUUCUAAAGCUAAAUACCGGCCAGAGACCGAUAGCGCACAAGUAGAGUGAUCGAAAGAUGAAAAGCACUUUGGAAAGAGAGUUAAAAAGUACGUGAAAUUGUUGAAAGGGAAGCGCUUGCAGCCAGACUUGUCCGCAGUUGCUCAGCCGGUCUCCUGACCGGCGCACUCUUCUGCGGCCAGGCCAGCAUCAGUUCGGGCGGUCGGAUAAAGGCCCCGGGAACGUAGCUCCUCUCGGGGAGUGUUAUAGCCCGGGGUGGAAUGCGGCCAGCCUGGACUGAGGAUCUCGCUUCGGCUAGGAUGCUGGCGUAAUGGCUGUAAGCGGCCCGUCUUGAAACACGGACCAAGGAGUCUAACAUCUAUGCGAGUGUUUGGGUGUCAAACCCAUGCGCGUAAUGAAAGUGAACGGAGGUGGGAACCCUCGCGGGUGCACCAUCGACCGAUCCUGAUGUCUUCGGAUGGAUUUGAGUAAGAGCAUAGCUGUUGGGACCCGAAAGAUGGUGAACUAUGCCUGAAUAGGGUGAAGCCAGAGGAAACUCUGGUGGAGGCUCGCAGCGGUUCUGACGUGCAAAUCGAUCGUCAAAUUUGGGUAUAGGGGCGAAAGACUAAUCGAACCAUCGACUACUAGGUGGUUAAGAGGUGGCUGAAAGUGCCCACCUAGUCCCCCCGUCCUCGGACGGGGGGGCGACAUCGCCAAAUUGCGGGGACUCCCUUAGAGCCUCUACUACCGCGGCCGGCCGAAAGGCGCGGUGCAGCACCGGGUUAAUUGCCUAGGGUACGGUAAAAAGGUAGAGGAUUGGGAAAUCCGCAGCCAAGCGCCUAAGUCCCGCGGGAUACGGCGAAGGUUCAGAGACUAGAUGGCGGUGGGUCCGGCCCGAGGGCCGGGCCUAAGGUAUAGUC